RNAcentral lists this ribosomal RNA (1267 nucleotides) under metagenome. Its description in RNAcentral is "bacterial LSU rRNA". It matches the Rfam family "Bacterial large subunit ribosomal RNA", at positions 1639 to 2925 of the family's 2925-position model. The record is from RNAcentral.
UGCCCGUACCAUAACCGACACAGGUGGGUAGGUAGAGUAUACUAAGGGGCGCGAGAUAACUCUCUCUAAGGAACUCGGCAAAAUGACUCCGUAACUUCGGGAGAAGGAGUGCCUUAUUUAUAAGGUUGCAAUAACAAGAUCCAAGCAACUGUUUAUCAAAAACACAGGUCUCCGCUAAGUCGUAAGACGAUGUAUGGGGGCUGACGCCUGCCCAGUGCCAGAAGGUUAAAGAAGUUGGUUAGUGUAUGCGAAGCUGAUGACUGAAGCCCUGGUGAACGGCGGCCGUAACGAUAACGGUCCUAAGGUAGCGAAAUUCCUUGUCGGGUAAGUUCCGACCCGCACGAAAGGCGUAAUGAUUUGGAUACUGUCUCGGAGAGAGGCUCGGUGAAAUAGACUUGUCUGUGAAGAUGCGGACUACCUGCACCAGGACAGAAAGACCCUAUGAAGCUUUACUGUAACUUGAAAUUGGAAUUGGACUUUGCUUGCGCAGUAUAGGUGGGAAGCGUUGAAGAUAUUCUUGCGGGAGUAUUGGAGCUAUCAGUGAGAUACCACUCUUGUAAUGUUAGAUUUCUAACUUUGAACCAUAAUCUGGUCAAAGAACAGUUUCAGGUGGGCAGUUUGACUGGGGCGGUCGCCUCCCAAAUGGUAACGGAGGCGUACAAAGGUUUCCUCUGAACGGAUAGAAAUCGUAUCUAGAGUGUAAGGGCAUAAGGAAGCUUGACUGUGAGACCUACAAGUCGAGCAGGGACGAAAGUCGGUCUUAGUGAUCUGACGGUACUGAGUGGAAAGGCCGUCACUCAACGGAUAAAAGUUACUCUAAGGAUAACAGGCUGAUCUCCCCCAAGAGUUCACAUCGACGGGGAGGUUUGGCACCUCGAUGUCGGCUCAUCGCAUCCUGGGGCGGUAGUACGUCCCAAGGGUUGGGCUGUUCGCCCAUGAAAGCGGUACGCGAGCUGGGUUCAGAACGUCGUGAGACAGUUCGGUCCAUAUCCGGUGUAGGCGUUAGAAUAUUGAGAGGAGCCUUCUUUAGUACGAGAGGACCGAGAAGGACACACCGCUGGUGUACCAGUUAUCGUGCCAACGGUAAACGCUGGGUAGCUAUGUGUGGAGUGGAUAACCGCUGAAAGCAUCUAAGUGGGAAGCCCACCUCAAGAUGAGUAUUCUCAUCACUAUAAGUGAGUAAGGUCACGGUAAGACUAACCGUUUGAUAGGCAUUAAGUGUAAAUGUAGUAAUGCAUGUGCUGAGAUGUCCUAACAGACCGAGGAC